RNAcentral lists this ribosomal RNA (530 nucleotides) under uncultured bacterium. Its description in RNAcentral is "partial 16S ribosomal RNA". It matches the Rfam family "Bacterial small subunit ribosomal RNA", at positions 355 to 874 of the family's 1533-position model. The record is from RNAcentral.
UGGGGAAUUUUGGACAAUGGGCGAAAGCCUGAUCCAGCAAUGCCGCGUGUGUGAAGAAGGCCUUCGGGUUGUAAAGCACUUUUGUCCGGAAAGAAAUCCUUGGCUCUAAUACAGUCGGGGGAUGACGGUACCGGAAGAAUAAGCACCGGCUAACUACGUGCCAGCAGCCGCGGUAAUACGUAGGGUGCAAGCGUUAAUCGGAAUUACUGGGCGCAAAGCGUGCGCAGGCGGUUUGCUAAGACCGAUGUGAAAUCCCCGGGCUCAACCUGGGAACUGCAUUGGUGACUGGCAGGCUAGAGUAUGGCAGAGGGGGGUAGAAUUCCACGUGUAGCAGUGAAAUGCGUAGAGAUGUGGAGGAAUACCGAUGGCGAAGGCAGCCCCCUGGGCCAAUACUGACGCUCAUGCACGAAAAGCGUGGGGGAGCAAAACAGGAUUAGAUACCCUGGUAGUCCACGCCCUAAAACGAUGUCAACUAGUUGUUGGGGAUUCAUUUCCUUAGUAACGUAGCUAACGCGUGAAGUUGACCGCCU